UCCCGGAGAACUAGUGGUUAGGCCACAGCACUCUCACCACUGCAGCCGGGGUUCAAUUCCCGGCCAGGGAA
Molecule: non-coding RNA, 71 nt
Organism: Pangasianodon gigas (Mekong giant catfish)
Lineage: Eukaryota; Metazoa; Chordata; Actinopteri; Siluriformes; Pangasiidae
Source: the annotation of a GenBank genome assembly